RNAcentral lists this ribosomal RNA (327 nucleotides) under Triticum aestivum (bread wheat). RNAcentral's name for it is "partial small subunit ribosomal RNA". The record is from RNAcentral. Lineage: Eukaryota; Viridiplantae; Streptophyta; Magnoliopsida; Poales; Poaceae.
AUGUCGCGGGUGGCUUCAGCGACGAGCCUCUCAUGGAAGCUCUCAGCCACCUGCUUGACAACAAGAUCGAGGGUGUUGGAUUUGUUGCCAUGGCCGGCACUCACAGGGGCAAGUGGUAUGUUGUGUUCAUCGGUAAGGUCCCAGGGGUUUAUAGUUCAUGGAAAGAAGCUAGUGUACAAGUGGCAUCGUAUAGCAACAGCACCCAUAGAGGGUUCAAGAUUAGGCAGGCAGCAGAACAUGCUUACUCCGAGUGGGUGCGAAAGCACGGCAGCAGUGUUGACUGUCGCAAGGUUGGAGGUGUCAAGGUGGAUCGUUAGUUUGGGCUGA